This 681-nucleotide RNase P RNA is filed under the name Rhizoctonia solani 123E. RNAcentral describes it as "Nuclear RNase P". It matches the Rfam family "Nuclear RNase P". From Rfam's summary of the family: Ribonuclease P (RNase P) is a ubiquitous endoribonuclease, found in archaea, bacteria and eukarya as well as chloroplasts and mitochondria. Lineage: Eukaryota; Fungi; Basidiomycota; Agaricomycetes; Cantharellales; Ceratobasidiaceae. The record is from Rfam by way of RNAcentral.
ACAGCUCGAAAGCCGUAUUUGCUCGUUACGCACUCGCCGAUUCUCUCGGCUUCUCGCGAGCGGGCUAAGGUCUGAGCGUUCUAGUCCCCUUGUAAUUGUGUCUAGCUGGCACCGGCCGUAACAGGCCGAGUAGAGUAUCAGACAUGCGCUCUCUGUUGCCCGUAUCGCCCAGAGAUCCGCAAGGUGAGGGUAUGGCGGCAGUUUGAGCUUGGAACAACUCUACGGGGACGGGGACUACUUGUUUGGUGCUUCGUCGCCUUGUUUGCCUUUGGACUUUGGCACCUAUCGCACCCAUGCGCUUGUGUAUAGCGCUGUGUCAUAUGAUGCACGGUGUGCGGCGUGACAGUCAUUGCUAGCUCUUCGGCUGGCUUGGGGACCGGGACCGGGAUGCCGACGGCCCCAAGUGGGGCCCGGCCUUGCACGCCGUAGAAUUCGGCAUGCAUGUCCUUUGCAGGUUACGCCCUCAGGGAGUUCCAUCCGACCAGGUUAUUCAACCGGUCAUAUUGUGCGUAUCAAUCAUACCACAAUAUAAUGCCAUGUGCAUUGGGUCAUUGGUCUGGGUGGACGAGGGUGUUCGAGGUUCGAGGGAGGUCAUGUGUGGCGUUGCAUCAGAGGUAGACCCUUUAGUUCACUUUGCGGCUCGCAUCAUGCGAAACUCGAUUCAGACUACUCUUGAGCUGU